This 503-nucleotide ribosomal RNA is filed under the name uncultured bacterium. Its description in RNAcentral is "partial 16S ribosomal RNA". It matches the Rfam family "Bacterial small subunit ribosomal RNA", at positions 28 to 523 of the family's 1533-position model. The record is from RNAcentral.
GAUGAACGCUAGCGGCAGGCCUUACACAUGCAAGUCGAGGGGUAGCAGGAUUAAGCUUGCUUAAUUGCCGACGACCGGCGCACGGGUGCGUAACGCGUAUGCAACCUACCUUAUACUGGGGUAUAGCCCGGAGAAAUUCGGAUUAAUCCCCCAUAGUACUAAUGAAUCGCAUGGUUUAUUAGUUAAAGCAUUGCGGUAUAAGAUGGGCAUGCGUCCUAUUAGCUAGAUGGUGAGGUAACGGCUCACCAUGGCUACGAUAGGUAGGGGGCCUGAGAGGGUGGUCCCCCACACUGGUACUGAGACACGGACCAGACUCCUACGGGAGGCAGCAGUGAGGAAUAUUGGUCAAUGGGCGCAAGCCUGAACCAGCCAUGCCGCGUGCAGGAAGAAUGCCCUAUGGGUUGUAAACUGCUUUUAUUUGGGAAUAAACCUCUUUACGUGUAGAGAGCUGAAGGUACCAAAUGAAUAAGCACCGGCUAACUCCGUGCCAGCAGCCGCCGUAA